ACUUUAGUAGGAGUAUUCCAACGAAGCAAAGUAGAAACAAAGAUGCUGGUCUUGCUAACUGCACUAGUGGUAGCUGCAAUACUGGGUACAACAACAGCCGAUGAGGAAAUUCCGUGGAUCAACGAAGUACCAACCAAAACUAAAAUACCAUUCGAUGAGGCUACACAAGCAGUGGAAUUAAAAGUAAAAUGGGGUAUCGCCGCUAAUCCGUAUUAUUGGUACCUCAUAGAUCUCAACGGAAACGAUGACGAAGCGAAGGUUGGAUUUGGUUUUUCAAAUCCGGGCAAUACAUAUCAAGAUGGCCCCCUGUCCGGAAAUCCAUUACCUCCAGAUUGGGCUGUAGCGCCGUGCAUCGGGUCAGACAGAAGGCUUCCAAUGCCAGAGAAUUUUGUCUUUUCUGAGGAAGAGGUGAUCUGGACAGUGUGGAAGGACAAUGGAAAGCUGAACGUUCUUUAUAAUGGAGAAGAUUUUUUGAGAGAUGGGUAUCCUGGUGAGGAAUUCGAUUGUGAAAAUCCGACUAAGUUUCCAAACGGGAAAGAACAAUGGGAACCAUAUUGGGAUGCAGAAUUAACAAGUGUAUCCUUCUAUGGUUGGAAUACUAAUGAAAAAUUUGAUGGAUACAGAUUUAUCCCAAUUCCUAUUGACGCAGAACCAGAAAAUAAUGACGACAUUCAUGGUGACAACAAUGGUUCUUACAGUGGAACUACCUUGCUCUCUCGCAGUUCAGUGAUUGUAACUACUCUUCUGAUGGCUGCAUUCUUUUAGAGUUUCUAUUGAGUGUAAUAAUGUUAGGGACCUUAAGCAUGAUACGCAUAAGACAAGGACAUACGCACGCAUUAUUAAAUAAUCAUUAAUCAUAUUUGCUUUAUUAAGACUAUCAAGAAAGAAGCUUGAGAAGCCUGGCCUUGCCCUGCAUGCUAUAUAAUUAUAUAAUGAUUUAUUAAACACUUCCAGUGUGGAGGCAAUUGGUAUUUAAAUUCGUACUCGGACGAUUUAAAUGAUGUUGUAAAACUAAAAAUGUUUAGUAGAGCGUAAAUUAUUCUUAAAUAAUUCAUUUCAUUUAAAAUUAGUAUUGAUUGGAUACACCAAAAGUUUGGAGAUGGAACAGUUAUGAUGUAGUAGUCUUGGUUUUAGGGAUGAUUCGUUAGAUUUUUAAA
Molecule: long non-coding RNA, 1157 nt
Organism: Bolinopsis microptera
Lineage: Eukaryota; Metazoa; Ctenophora; Tentaculata; Lobata; Bolinopsidae
Exons: 2
Source: RefSeq, a predicted model, not a curated record